RNAcentral lists this long non-coding RNA (4692 nucleotides) under Pelobates cultripes (western spadefoot toad). The record is from RNAcentral. Lineage: Eukaryota; Metazoa; Chordata; Amphibia; Anura; Pelobatidae.
CUACAUCCUGCCAAUCUGCCUGCCGGGUUCAUCAGUCGUCUUCCCAACUGGUUUGGAAUGCUGGGCAACCGGAUGGGGUAAUAUGAACUCAGAAGGUCAGUACCAAAUUUCCAUUACACCUACUACCAGAAUUAAUUGGUUUCUCACUUCUACCGAUCAUCACUAAAUCACCUAAAAUAGAAUUAAUGUAAAUUCUACAAAACUGGUUCAUGGAUUGCAAGAUAAGACAAGACGGGGGAUGUGAUAGAAAUAUUUAAAGGAUCACUAUAGGGUCAGGAACACAAACAUGUAUUCCUGACCAUAUAGUGUUAAACCCACCAUCUUGCCCCCCUGGCCCCUCAUGCCUCCAUAAAUAUAGCAAAAUCAUACUGUAUUCAAGCUAGAAGCUGUAACUCUGCAUGCUGUUAGACUCAGAAAAACAAGCAGUCUGCUGACAUCAUCAGAAGUGGUAGCCUGAUCCAAUCACAAUGCUUCCCUAUAGGAUUGGCUGAGACUGACAAAGAGGCAGAUCAGGGGCAGAGCCAGCACAAUUCAAACACAGCCCUGGCCAAUCAGCAUCUCCUCAUAGAGAUGAAUUGAAUCAAUGAAUCUCUAUGAGGAAAGUUCAGUGUCUGCAUGCAGAGGGAGGAGAUACUGAAUGUUUGGAUGCAUUUUAGGCAGCUAUGACCCAGGAAGGAUCUCUAACAGCUAUCUGAGGAGUGGCCAGUGAAGUUAUCACUAGGCUGUAAUGUAAACACUGCAUUUUCUCUGAAAAGACCCUAUUUACAGCAAAACGCCUGAAGGUAAUGAUUCUACUCACCAGAACAAAUUCAAUAAGCUGUAGUUGUUCUGGUGACUAUAGUGUCCCUUUAAAUACAUAAAGGGAAUCAACACAGUAAAGGAGGAGACUAUAUUUAAAAGAAGAAAAACUACCACAACAAAAGGACAUAGUCUUAAAUUAGAGGGGCAAAGGUUUAAAAGUGCCAUGGCUUACCUGGGUGUCCCCCGCUAUGUUUCCGUCCACUCCUGCGGCGCCUCCUCCUCGCUGCACACCCAAGGACAAAUGACUGGCAUCACUCUGACUCAUGGACGCGGCACUCCAUGCCACGCCCGACCCGCGGGAAGCCCCAGCCGAACCCACGUGUAAACUUCACUCACUCUAGGCAAGCGCACACCUGACAGCCGGACAGAACACCUGAAACAUCUUAUAGGGCUAAUCACUGUUUAACCAAUGAUUUGUGAGCGGUGGAUACCUCUCCCCUAUAUAAACCCGGUUAACCACUACCUCAGUGCUCAGUUAUACUGUGCUCUUCGGUAUAUACACUUCUGUAGAUCCUGUAUUAUCCAACUCUUAACCUAUCUGCCUGUUACACCAUUCCUGUACCUGCGCUGCCUGCCCUCGAUCUUGGCUUACCCUUACUAUGAGACUGUCUUAUUCUCAAUUGGUACCUCACUUUUGGCUCGCUCCUGCAUCCUGUCAAAGACCCAACAAAAAGGAAUAUCAGGAAGUAUGACUUUACUGAGAGGGUAGUGGAUGCAUGGAAUAGCCUUCCAGCUGAAGUGGUAGAGGUUAACACAGUGAAGUAGUUUAAGCAUGCGUGGGAUAGGCAUAAGGCUAUCCUAACUAUAAGAUAAGGCCAGGGACUAAUGAAAGUAUUUAGAAAAUUGGGCAGACUAGAUGGGCCGAAUGGUUCUUAUCUGUAAAGUAAAGCUUAAGUAAAAUUAAAAAAAAAAAAAUCAAAUUCAACUAAUGAAAUUAUCACAUGAAAUAAUCCUGUGUCUGUUCUGUAGCCUUCUCAUGGACCCCAACUCUUUUCUCCACAUUUACAAUAAAUUAUGGCAAUAUUCUAUAUAAAUAACAACAUUGCUACAAUCCUCAAAGCAACGUGGCUUAUGUUUUUGCAGACCUGAAUUAAAUGGAUAAAUAUGGAGACAGUAACUGAGUUUUCAACAAAUUAUCGGUAAUUAAUUCUUAUUUGAACAUUUUAGUCUAAUAAGCCUUUUAUAUGUUUGAAAUUUGUGUUUAAAGUGAAACUCCAGUGCCAGAAAAACAAUCAGUUUUCCUGGCACUGCAGGUACCCUCUCCCUCCCAUCCCAGGUAGCUGAAAACCCCUUCAGGUCACUUAAAUGUCCCUCGGGGGUGGUUUCGGGUUGGUGUCGCUCCUCCCAGUAAUCACGUCAGACGGUGGGCGAGACUGAUCCUGCCCGCCGGCUGAGGAAACCUAAUGCGCAUGCGCAUGCUUUCCUAUGGGGAACUGAGCGACGCUGGAGGUCCUCAUACAGUGUGAGGACGCCCAGCGACGCUCUAGCAAAGAAAAUCAGGAAGUGCCCUCUAGUGGCUGUCUAGUAGACAGCCACUAGAGGUGGAGUUAACCCUGCAAGGUAAUUAUUGCACAUUAUAAAAAACUGCAAUAAUUACAGUUGCAGGGUUAAGAGUAUUGGGAGUUGGCACCCAGACCACUCCAAUGGUCAGAAGUGGUCUGGGUGCCUGGAGUGUCCCUUUAAGUUAAACUUGGCAUUUCAUAAAUUAUAAUCGUAAUAUAGUGCUGUGGGUGAUUACCUUACUGGAGCAGUCAUCAUCCCCUGAUUUUUGUGGAAAUUCCUCUUCCUUCAGUGGAUGCCUUGGCAAUUUCAGCCACUUCAGAGAGAAUUGGAGGAGAAUGUUAAAUAAAAUAUUAAACAAGUAACACGCAUUCUAAUUUGGCUUAAGUUGUGUUUCACGCAGUGUGCAUUGUGAUCGCUACUAGAUUUACAACUAUUUUUAUACGUUAAAGUUUACUUUGUAAAAAUCUCAAAUUUAAAAAAAAAAGAUGAAUGAAUGCAUUAAGAAUUGUGAAGAUGUUUGUGAAUCUGGAAGCACCGUCAUUGCAUUGAUUUAUUUUCCUUAGCCGAUAAAGAUAUUGCUUCUCUUAGACUUGUGCUGGAUAUUGUUUGGGCUCAGCCACGUCAGUCCGGGUAAUGGAUCAGGAGACUAAGCCAAAAGGAGUGAACAUUGUCCAUUCAGAAUGCUGUAUGAUAUAUACAUAAUAUGAUUGGAUGUAUAUAUUUUGUAAUACACGGCUAAGGGCAUUGUUCCACCAUUUGGUUCACAGAUUACGUUGAGAAGAAUAUAAAAAGCUAACAGGUCACUAUAGAAUCCGUACUACAUGUUUGUAUUCCUAACUCUAUAGUGUUCCAUUAAUAAAUAUAUAAUAUAUAAAUAUAGAUUUUAUUUCACUGCUCCAUCUUUUUUAUUGUCCACUUCUCAUUUGAUCUGUGAAUAAAAUCAACAUUUAGUGGCUGUCCCGUACCCAUCAGCCAUCUCUUAUUUUGGCACCAUGAGCGGGAUUUAGAAUAUUGAUUCCCCAACCCGCACACAAACAUGUUUGGCUUUGUCCAGUAAUUGUGUAUCAUUCAGAAUUCCAGUUUGUUCCUAAAUGAAUCUCCAAGUCCAAUUUUCAUUUCAGAUACAUAUAAUAUGAAAAUAUGAAAUGACUUGUCUGACAGGGCCUGGGUUACAGAAAACAAGCUGCCUCUCCUUGCUGCUUAUUAAUAGGCACAUAUAGCUGUCAGAUCCAUGUAUUGUUUUUUUGUUUUUUUUAAUUUAGGGGAUCCUGUGUAUCCAGACAUCCUGCAGAAAGUAAAAAUACCACUUAUAGAUUCAACACAAUGUAACGAGACUUACCACACCGGUCCAUCGCCCAGUAGCAACAGUAUCUAUAAUGAGAUGCUAUGUGCUGGUUACAAUGAGGGAGGUAAGGACUCCUGCCAGGUUGGUCACAAUAAUUAAUCGUUAAAUGUCCACAUAAUAACUAAUUAUUCAUUAACAGGGGUCAAACUAAUAGCCUGCUCUGUAUCUAUUAACUACAUACGACCUUCAUGAUAAACUUGCACUACCAACAUCUGGAGACACCGAGCACAGUGGAGAAUCUUGGGAUUUGUAGUUUGACUGUAGAUAUGAAGUACUCGUCGAUGGUUUGCCUGUUUUGUGGAAAAGUUGACGUUUUUAUGUUUUGCCGUAGUGAAUCCCACUUUUAAUAUUUUUGGAGCUAUAUGUAACAUGAUAUCGCGUUAAAGGCUGUGUUAACCACAUUAGAAGGCCGUGGUACGUCAUAUUCGUUCUCCAUUUUCCUUCGCUAGUAUUGUAACAUUGGAGAAAUCCCUACUCAAAAUAUAUGUUUAGAAAUGUUGUCCUAUUGUAAGUCUCAUGAAAUGUACAAAGGUUUGAUCUGUUACAAGUCUUUGUUGAGAUCAAACACACCUGUUUCUAUAAUAUUGCAUUAAGACUCAUGUUUCAACAUUCAGGGAGACUAGAAAAAAUGAGAGCAUAGAAUUGAUCAUUAAAUAUCAGCAGGAGGGUAAUGUUGUAAACACAUCACCUAUUUCAUGUACUGAAUAUAGAAUGCUUUCAUUUUCUAUAGUAUAUUACUAAAUCUACGGAUUCUCAAUGAUAAAUCUGCUCACAAAUGCAUUUUUAUUUCCAGGGCGACUUGGGGGGACCCUUGGUGUGUGAGGUGGAUGGCAUCUGGCUCCUGGCUGGGAUUGUCAGCUGGGGAGAUGGAUGUGCUGUAGCUAAUCGCCCCGGGGUGUACGCCCGUGUACCGGCCUUUGAGUCCUGGAUCAAGGCGUAUGUUCCAGAGCUGAUAUUCCUCACUGUGGACCCUGUUGCCAGCACAAGUUUAGCUUACGCUUCUUGGAAAAUUGUUUUCCUCUGCAUUUUAAUUCUGACUUGGG